AUUGAACGCUGGCGGCAGGCCUAACACAUGCAAGUCGAGCGGAUGAAGGGAGCUUGCUCCUGGAUUCAGCGGCGGACGGGUGAGUAAUGCCUAGGAAUCUGCCUGGUAGUGGGGGAUAACGUCCGGAAACGGGCGCUAAUACCGCAUACGUCCUGAGGGAGAAAGUGGGGGAUCUUCGGACCUCACGCUAUCAGAUGAGCCUAGGUCGGAUUAGCUAGUUGGUGGGGUAAAGGCCUACCAAGGCGACGAUCCGUAACUGGUCUGAGAGGAUGAUCAGUCACACUGGAACUGAGACACGGUCCAGACUCCUACGGGAGGCAGCAGUGGGGAAUAUUGGACAAUGGGCGAAGGCCUGAUCCAGCCAUGCCGCGUGUGUGAAGAAGGUCUUCGGAUUGUAAAGCACUUUAAGUUGGGAGGAAGGGCAAUAAGUUAAUACCUUGCUGUUUUGACGUUACCAACAGAAUAAGCACCGGCUAACUUCGUG
RNAcentral lists this ribosomal RNA (484 nucleotides) under uncultured bacterium. RNAcentral describes it as "partial 16S ribosomal RNA". It matches the Rfam family "Bacterial small subunit ribosomal RNA", at positions 30 to 507 of the family's 1533-position model. The record is from RNAcentral.